GACGAACGCUGGCGGCGUGCUUAACACAUGCAAGUCGAACGGAAAGGCCCUGCUUUUGUGGGGUGCUCGAGUGGCGAACGGGUGAGUAACACGUGAGUAACCUGCCCUUGACUUUGUGAUAACUUCAGGAAACUGGGGCUAAUACCGGAUAGGAUCUCCUGCUGCAUGGUGUGGUUUGGAAAGUUUCGGCUGUUGGGGAUGGUCUCGCGGCUUAUCAGCUUGUUGGUGGGGUAGUGGCUUACCAAGGCUUUGACGGGUAGCCGGCCUGAGAGGGUGACCGGGCAAAUUGGGACUGAGAUACGGAGCAGACUGCUACGGGAGGCAGCAGUGGGGAAUAUUGCAAAAUGGGCGGAAGCAUGAUGCAGAAAAGCAGCGUGCGGGAUGACGGCCUUGGGGGUGUAAACCGAUUUCGCAUGUGAAGAAGAGUGAGUGACGGUAAUGGGUAAAGAAGCAACGGCUAACUACGUG
This 468-nucleotide ribosomal RNA is filed under the name uncultured bacterium. RNAcentral's name for it is "partial 16S ribosomal RNA". It matches the Rfam family "Bacterial small subunit ribosomal RNA", at positions 28 to 507 of the family's 1533-position model. The record is from RNAcentral.